This 656-nucleotide long non-coding RNA is filed under the name Bos taurus (domestic cattle). RNAcentral describes it as "long non-coding RNA NONBTAT023794". The record is from RNAcentral. Lineage: Eukaryota; Metazoa; Chordata; Mammalia; Artiodactyla; Bovidae.
CGGCCAGAGCUCACAGGCCAUGGGAAGCAGCCUGAAAUCUCCUAAAUGCAACGUGAAACCAAGGUAAUUUUUGCUGUACCUAUGUUCACCCUGAGAAGCCAAUUCAAUUCAACUGGCUUCCCAAAUAACAAGCCAAAGUUUUCUAAAGUUGUAACCUAAAGGAGAUCUUUGAAUGGAAAACCACAGGGUCACAGAUCCUUCGGAAAGGAUGGGUUCCCCUCCCUGCAGCUCUUGUUGGAGCAAGAUGGCUUCGAACCAGGCCAAUUCCACUGACUCAUCCGUGGAAAGACUGUUUUUUUAAGUUAAAGGAGAAACUUAGGGUGUUCCAAUUAAAAUGUUCUUUGAAGGGUAUUUAUUGCCCACUAAUUAAUAAUUAACCCCUGAGCAAUGAGUACACAGAGUUUGCAGGGAUCACUCAGAAAAGCCACAGGAGUGAAAGCACAGGGCCUGAAAAGCCCAGGCGAUCCCUUUCAAAGCAAACAGUUUUACAAAUCUUGAAUUACAGUUCUACAACUUUAUCCCAGCAAGUAAACAGACCGUGUCUGUCUGGGUUAGCUUUCUGGCCUCACCCGACAUGGUGCCAGAUGUUUCCUAUUCGAUACAUUUUUUUAACAAUUCAGGCUUAGAUUAAGAAUGAAAGAAAACUUGUGCCUUUC